Molecule: long non-coding RNA, 1033 nt
Organism: Hemicordylus capensis (graceful crag lizard)
Lineage: Eukaryota; Metazoa; Chordata; Lepidosauria; Squamata; Cordylidae
Exons: 4
Source: RefSeq, a predicted model, not a curated record
UUGAAGACAUUUCAAAGAUAGUGAUGGAUGCAGCAGAGAACCUGGUGAACGUGGAACUAAUCAAACUAUCUCAUUUGCAAAACAAGAUUGUAAAUUGAGUAUGAUUGCAUAAUUUUUGUGUCAGAGAACAGCAGUUUAUUAACAUGUGGUGAGUUAGAUGUACAUUCUCCCUGUGAGAAAAUUGACAGAUUAAAAGGAAAGGCUCUACUUUUGCAGCCAGGACAUAGACUUUAAACAGGAGCUUUGAGGGCUACGAGUUUCCUCCUUGUACCUUAGUCAAUCUUUGUGGGAAGAAGCAGAUUUCUUUCCUGGGCUCUGCAGUUGCAAGCCCAGCCAGUUAUAGGUGCUCCAAGAAGUGCUCAUCGAUCCCGCUGAAUUGCGUGUGUGGUGCUUCUGUUAUUUUCAGCUAUAUUUCCGUUAUUUUCUUCCACAGUUCCUGAAUGGCACAGUGAUGGUAAAAGUUGAAGGUGAGACAAAGUCAGACAAGUUUAUAUAACAUCUGCAAACUGUCCUAGCAAUGGAGAUGGACAAGCGGGUGUUGUGAGUGAAAACGGAUCACCAGAAAGAUCACCUGUUACAGGUUGCAAAAAGAUCUACCUUUGGUGUUCCCCAGGAACAGAAGAUGGCGUGGAGAACAUAACAAUUCAGCUCCCAUGUGUUGAUGGUUCAAGGUACAAUGGAAAAGAAGCUGGAAGAAAUCUAUUUGUUGCUGCAUUCUAGCAGUUGGACAGCUAUGCCUGAUACAUAGUGGGUUAACAGGUCCUGAACCAAAUUUCCGUCUCAGAGCUGGAACUGCUUCCUGGCCCUCUAAAGUUGCCUGACUGAUUGCCUUCUGCACAGAUUCCCUAUCCACUGGUGGAAAUUACUACAGGCAAUCUCAAGAAGUCAGGUACAACACCCUAACAAAGGCAAGUCCUACUCUAAGGAGUUUUGCUAUGCAAAAGAGCAGUUCCUAAAAUCUUGGAGAUUUCUAGAAAAACAAUUUGUGAAGGAACUCUGAACUGAACUACCUUCACCCAAAGGUCUAACCCAU